AACGAACGCUGGCGGCAUGCCUAACACAUGCAAGUCGAACGAGACCUUCGGGUCUAGUGGCGCACGGGUGCGUAACACGUGGGAAUUUGCCUCGGGGUAUGGAAUAACUCAGGGAAACUUGAGCUAAUACCAUAUAAUGUCUUCGGACCAAAGAUUUAUCGCCCUGAGAUAAGCCCGCGUAGGAUUAGCUAGUUGGUGGGGUAAAGGCUCACCAAGGCGACGAUCCUUAGCUGGUCUGAGAGGAUGAUCAGCCACACUGGGACUGAGACACGGCCCAGACUCCUACGGGAGGCAGCAGUGGGGAAUUUUGGACAAUGGGCGCAAGCCUGAUCCAGCAAUGCCGCGUGCAGGAUGAAGGCCUCGGUGUAACUAGCUUUGUACGGUAACGAAACGGUAGAGC
RNAcentral lists this ribosomal RNA (400 nucleotides) under uncultured bacterium. RNAcentral's name for it is "bacterial SSU rRNA". It matches the Rfam family "Bacterial small subunit ribosomal RNA", at positions 29 to 459 of the family's 1533-position model. The record is from RNAcentral.